This 254-nucleotide ribosomal RNA is filed under the name uncultured bacterium. Its description in RNAcentral is "partial 16S ribosomal RNA". It matches the Rfam family "Bacterial small subunit ribosomal RNA", at positions 524 to 776 of the family's 1533-position model. The record is from RNAcentral.
CACGGGGGGAGCAAGCGUUGUUCGGAAUCACUGGGCGUAAAGAGCUCGUAGGCGGCUUGGCAAGUCGGGUGUGAAAACUUCAGGCUCAACCUGGAGCGGCCACUCGAUACUGCUAUGGCUUGAGUCCGGUAGGGGACCACGGAAUUCCUGGUGUAGCGGUGAAAUGCGCAGAUAUCAGGAGGAACACCAGUGGCGAAGGCGGUGGUCUGGGCCGGAACUGACGCUGAGGAGCGAAAGCGUGGGUAGCAAACAGG